This 2241-nucleotide unclassified non-coding RNA is filed under the name Hevea brasiliensis (rubber tree). Lineage: Eukaryota; Viridiplantae; Streptophyta; Magnoliopsida; Malpighiales; Euphorbiaceae. The record is from RNAcentral.
GCUAAGCAAAAAUAUGUACAGAUAGCCCAGCAAAAUGGAUGCAUGCACAAAUAUGCACUAAACACUAAACCUUCUUAAACAAGCACCAAGGCUUGCUCCUAUAAAUUGCAACAAAAGAUUAGUAUACAAACCACCAUAAAUUAAUUCCUAAACAAAUUUGAAAUGCAGGACCACAUUCACCAUCCAUAUUUACUCCACCUAAUCAUAAUGUAUAUGCUUUCAUUAAAACAAAAAAUGCAAGAGAAAAAUUGGGAACAAAAUGUUACAGGAGGAAGAAAAACAGAAAAGGUUCAUGAAAUUCAUUAACCAAAACCACCACGACAUAUCUAAAAUUAGAAAACAAACCAAGAAUAAAAAUUCUUAUUGAAACUAACCCUUUACAAUCAGUUUUUCUUUACCACAAAAUUGAUAUUCACCAUGAGUACUCAGUUCCUUGCCCGCAUUUAGUACCCCUGUGCUUGCCUUGGUGGACGCAUAGGCCAACCAAGAAGUGGAGGUGAUCCUGGUGGGGUUGCAUCUUGACUAGGAGAGAAGAGGCUUAGUUCCACAAAUGGCCCUGUUGAAGUCCCAUCCCUUUCAUAAGUUCGAAAGGAAAUUGAUCCACGCUUGGUUGAGGCAUCAGAGUUUCUUCCAGGGCUUAAACGACUGCUUUCUUCAAGAUGACUUUGGUUAGCAAUGAGAGAAAUGAUGUCAUUGUGCUCGUCAAUGAUUCUUCUCCUAGCCUCCAAGUCCUGAAGAUUCCCCAGGGCCAAAGAAUCCGCAAUUGGGAAGUACACAAUCAUGAAAAUACAAACCCCAGCACAAGAUAAAAGGGCAAGAAAAGCUGCGAAAGCAAGAGCUUCAAACAGAAAAUCCUCUGGUUUAGAUAAAACAGAUAGCCCAAGUAGAAGAACCCUUAAUGGGAGAAAGCUAGAAACAGAGAAUAUUAAUGUGUAGACUCUCUUCUGUAAACCCUUAUUGAUGACCAAUUUCAAAAUCCGCCUUCCAAGCCAAAACAGAUAGACAGUUAGUAUGGUGGCAAAAAGCCCUAGGAGGAUGGUAUUUAGUAAAGGGUAAGUGCAGAGGGCAGCAUCAGCAUUUUCUGACAUAGGACUAGCUGUGCUUGUAAAAUAAUGGGGCAAUUUUUGUAAGGAGCCUUUAUUAUUACGCAAUUUUGGUCCAAUUAGAAUAAUGAAGAGCUGAAGAGCAAAAAUGGGAAGGCAAUAAAGGAGAACAUAUCCUACAGUUCUCCCGUUCCAUUUUCGACUUAGAAUUCCUGUUUCCAUCCUCUGUAGGGGUGCACGAAGGAGAAACACUAGGGUAAGGAAUAAACAAGGUUCUGCAAAACCCAUAUUUGAGACAAUGUAGCCUUUGCAAACAGUUUCCUGCCAUUUCAAGUCUAGGGCAUUCAACACCCUCCCGUCACGCCUCAAGAAACUUAACCGUGUAAUCUCACCAAAACCCCACCAGAUUACAAACAAAAUGAAUGUGAUUCGGAUAAUCCAAGGACCGCUAAAAUAAGUGAGUUGAAUAAAGUCUUGAUUACGAACACGAGAGCGGAAGUAAAAUGAGUAAGCAAUGCAAAGUAAACCAAGAAGAAUCAAGAGAGCAACUAGGCAAAUUGUCACCACACCGAAUGCAUCGGCAGCAGAUCUCGACAGGGGCAUUACCUGAAGCACAAAUUCCACGCAUGCUCUCUGCCAGCAUGGAUACAAGGAAUCCUCCUCUGAUGGUGUGUACACUUCCUUCCCAGGAUUAAUUUUGAAUGACAGUAAUUUCCAAAGUGAUACUAAAAUUUAGCUUGUCCAGACUGAACUAACCAAGCACAAUCUCCCUAAGUAAUAGCACCUUUCCUUUUACUCAAACAAUGAUGGCAAAGACAUGAGUCGUCACACAUCAAAUGGUCCAAAACCAACACCACUAUGUUCACUCCAAAGCAAAUUUGCAAUAUAGCUUGGGUAAGUUAUCCUAGCCAAACACCUAUAACACAAAAAAAGGGUAAGCAUCCAACACACAAAAAACAACGUAAGUAUUCAACAAAGAGCCAUUAAUUAAUAAUACUUUAAGAAAAGAAACAAAAGAUUAAAAAAAAAUUAACAGAAACUUUUUGGGAGAAUAAUUCAAAAGGACCGCUGCAUACAUAGAUGUCAAGUUUUAUUUAAGUAUAUACACACGAUGAUGUAACUUGUAAGAAUCUUUUUCAUGAAAUGAAGUAAGAACACUUUGUUAUCUUCAAAUGUACAAAUUUAACUUUACCUUCAC